GGAAUUGUCAUGUUGGGAAAGCGACAGUUGGGGCAGUUAGUUCAGGGAGAGGGAAGAGAGCAUGAAUGUCGGGCUAGCGGUAGAAGUAAGUCCUGUGGGGAAUUUGUGAAAGACAUCUGGUGAGGGGAGACAGUGAUCAAGGGCUGGGAGUGGCUGAGGCAGGUAGAGAAAGAAGAAAACAGAGGAGGAGGAGGAGGAGAGAACAGAUGUAAGGUGUAGGGCUAGUCCUUCAGCCUGCAAGGCCAAAGAGCAGUGUGAGAGGGUCGCCUCACAGGAACAGCCAGGACAUCAAAAACUGGUGGGGGAGAAGAAUGCAAAAUUGGUUUAUUUUAUAGGAAAUAAUAUAGCCUUGCACGGGUAUUAUAAUCUGGAGAGAAGUUGUUCCUUCCCUCUUUAAUAAUAAUAAUUUAACCAAGGCGCUGGCGUAGACUUCCAAGCUUCUUUCCCAGAUCGUCAUAUGCAGGACAUCUCUGUCUCUAUCCCUGGCAUAUCUCCAGGUAGGGCUUGGAAAGUCCUCUGUUUGAAACCCUGGAGAGGCUCUACCAAUCAGUGCAGAAAAAACUGAGCAAGAUGAACCAAUGGUCUGAUUUAGUACUAGGUAGCUUCCCAAGUUCCUAUUGAACCUGUUCCACACCAUUGGCUGCUGAGGGGCAUAGAUGGGGGAACUCAAAAUAUAUUGUGGCAUUCAGGGAAAGUGAAUCUAGACUUGAUAUCAGGGAUGGGAAAGAUCUAUUACAGUUUCCAGUGGCAUCUCCAUUGUAGGCAUAUUGUGCAGCCCAGCUCUAAGUGCCUGAUGGAUUUCUUCCUAAUUGUCCUAUAGGCAAAUAUUCCUAUGAUUUUAUGUUCCAGUACUGAAGCCAUUUGUCCAGAUGGGGAAAGUUAGUUUCCUGUGAUGGAAGCUGUUAAAUAAUCAGCUGCAACUACAUGGACAGGGCAUUAUGAACCGCAGCCAAGAGGAUAGAUUUCAAGAGGUGGAGGUCCCAGGAUUAAUUAUAACAGAUUACAUAAUCAGGUCCUUCAUUUAUAAUCUUUUGGCAAACUGUCCCUAAAGCUACAAAAGUGGGGACCUCUGCUCCCUAUUUAGAUAAUUGAAAUCCUUUCAGAACAGCAGCUGAAAACAAUGCUGGAAUGGAAUAAAUAGCCUCACCUCUUAGUCUUGAAGGUUCUGCUUGGAUUCUAUAGAACAUGGAGAAACUGGGAUAGGUGGAAAGGGAUUGACAUAGCUUUCCACUGCUCUUGCCUGCAAGACCAGUAGUUUAUAUAAUCCCUUUGGUCAGUCUAACCAUCAUGUGCUUGUGGCUUCCCACUUUUUAGCUGCAUAUAGGUAACAUUAAUUGGAGUCUAGCGUUAUAGCCAUUAUUCUGCCCCCAGCUUUGCAGAUUCAUUUGUGUGUGGUGAUGUCCCUGUUGUCACUGCCCAUGGGUUAGUUCUCCAGAUGUUAUUGGAAUCCAACUUCCAUUAGCCUCAGACAUCAUGGUAAAUAGGGGAGAUAGGAGUUGAAAUCCAGCAACAUAUAAAGGGCCACAGGUUAGUCACCCCUUGUAUAAAUCAGGGCUGGAUUAACUAUUAAAAAAUGAGCACACAGUUAUUUGCACUUCUGAAAAACAAUGGGGUUCCCCUAAGGAUGUGAAUAUCUGUCUCUCUUGUUACUCUCUGUCUCUCUUUCGGCUCCAUUGCUAUUGACACUCACCACCUGAGUUGGCUAUUAGAGGCAGCAUUUCCAGAAACACCCAAUGUCUCUCAUGCUUUGUUACUCCUUUAUGGGCACUGUCCCUGAGCAAGCUGUUAGAAUUCCUGCUCCAUGAUUGCAGUCAUGGGAUUUUUGUCUAUCACAUGACGGUGUAUGUUUUUACUCCACAGAGUAGGAAGUGACGGAGACAGGAUGUUUGUGUUACUGUAUUCCGUGAAGAGGGACUAUUGUCCUUUGUUCUUUUUCUCUCUUUGCUGUCUGAUGCUAGAGAGAGAGGGAGCCAUGUUGCAGUGCUCCAGGUGUGUUUAUAUGUAAAUAAAGUAUAUUAGCCAAAAUGCUGAGUUGCUGAGGUCUGUUACGCAAACUGCAAAGACGCUGCAGAUCCCUAAGUGUGCCGAUGUCUGUUGGCAUCAGUUGCUGUGAUGUUCGGGCUGAAGAAAGCUAAUGAAGCUCCUGAACGAUUGACCAGGAGGGAGAGAACAUGCCAGUUGGGCAUGUGUCUCUGCCAGGGUCCUACUCGAGUGUAGGACGCGUGAAGUGGAGGUACCAAAGAGGUCAUCUUGAUUCUGCAUUAAAAAAAAGUGAGAACAAAGAAUGGCAACUCUGGAGAAAAUGGCUAGACACAGAAGCAACCCUUGUUCAAGUGUUCGUGCGAUGCUGUUGAAAAUCAUUCUAGAACAGGGAGAGCCAGCGUGGACUAAAACUCCCAUCAGCCCUGCCAUCAUACUGAAUAGUCAGGGAUGAUAGGAAUUGUAGUGCAAUACCAUGUGAAAAACACCAUGCUAGGUACCUCUGCUCUAGAAAAAUUCGCUGUGGCAGAAAGCUUUUGCAUCAUUUAGGAUGCCCUGCCAUGGGCAAUCUUCUCAUAUAGCAAUGGCAGACCCGAAUGCCAUCUCUUCUCUGGGGCAUCCAGGUCCCUUUGAAGCUUCUGAAAAAAUUCCCAGGUCUUGUAAUUAGGGGACUUUCAUGCCUUUAAGGGAGGACAAAAACACACACACAACCUGCAAGCCUGGAUUGCAUGUCAAAGAGCUUUCCAUGGCUUUUUGUUUUUUAAAUGCGUAGGCUCAAAGCUGGCAAUGUGCUAAUUAGAAAUUUGUAUCAAUGUAAAUGAUUUCUGCAUGCAGAUUAGAGCGUAUCUGGCUCUCCAAAGGUAUUUUUCCCUAGACAGGUUUCAGGGGAGAGUCUGAGAUGGAAGCUGCAUUUGGUGCUGUUUGUAAUAUCCGAGUCACGAUCAGUGGAAACUCAUCUAUCAAAUCAAGGCUAUAUUUGAAGUACAAAGGCAGGGCACAUUUUUGCUGAGGAUCAUCCCCGAAGACAAAGGCUUCCUGCAUUAUUUAAAAGCAUCCCUGAUGAAUCCUUGUUAAUAAGGCUAGCUCUCUCAGCAAGCCAACCAGCAGGAAAAGCAAGGCAGCUUUCCCUUGCAGCUGAAAACUGGGUCUGUGGCAUUCAAAGGGCCAUUGAUUUUCAUUUCCCAUUUCAACACCCACAAAGGCUGGACGUGGCCUCUUCAAAUCUGUUAAGCACCUCUCAGAUGCAUGUCGAACAUAAAUCUGUGCAAACCACAGCAGGACAUGCAUUUGCCAUACAUUUGUCAAAGAAAUACAUUUAUGGAAGAAUGGACAGGGAGAAAGGCCUUUGUGGGUUUUGGUUUGCAUGGAAUAGAUCUGGUUCAACCAGCUCAAAUCAAUUGACAGUCUAGUAUGAAUGGGGAGAAAUUUGGUUUGGUUAGAACCUGACUAAUUCUCGCCUCCUGACACAGUUCUUCAACCAAAAUGCAGCGGUCCUUCAGAAUUUGCUCUUCUCUGAAUUUUGCAGUGCUGUUCUGCAACCAAAGGAAGUGUACAGAAAUGAGCUUUGGGGGGGGAGGGGGCAUGAAAAAGCAUAAAAUAGCAAAAUGCAUUACAGUAGUGGGAAAUACACAUAUAAAAACACAUAUGGGGGGGGAACAAGAUGUGCAUAGCCGGACAAAUGUGCACUAAGAUGCGGACCAAUUUUCACGAGGACUUUUAAAAAUUGCAAGCUGAUGCUGAAAUGUGGUGAACUGAACUUAAGUUUGUAAUAAUAAUGAUGAUAAUGAGGAUGAAGUUGAUAAUAAUAAUAAUAAUAAUAAUAAUAAUAAUAAUUUAUAUCCCGCCCAUCUGCCUGUGUUGCCAUAGCCACUCUGGGCAGCCCCCAACAAAUUUAAACCACAGCAAAACUUCAGAUGUUUAAAACUUCCCUAUACAGGGCUGCCUUCAGAUGUCUUCUAAAAGUCCAAUAGUUGCUUUUUCCUUGACAUCUGGUGGGAGGGCAUUCCACAGAGCGAGCGUGACAACCAAGAAGGCCCUCUGCCUGGUUCCCUGUAACUUUACUUCUUGCAAUGAGGGAACUGCCAGAAGGCCCUCAGAGCUGGACGUCCGUGUCCGGGCUGAACAAUGGGGGUGGAGACGCUCCUUCAGGGGACAAAGCCAUUUAGGGCUUUGAAUGCCAGCACCAACACUUUGAAUGAAAGUCUGAGAAACCAAAAAUGAUGGAUUAGAUCUGUGCAUUCUAGGUCAGGCAUAAGCCUUAGGUUGGCACCAAUUUGGACAGGAAGGAGAAAUGUUGGGCAAAACACAGACACUACACUCUACAGGGGCAUAAGAAGACGGGUCUUUUUUCUACUUCAAAGGGCUCCUGGGGGGAAGCCAGGUUUCUCUCCAAUAAACAAUUGCAAAUGUAUUCAGGAACAGUAGAUUAACAGUGCAUGGCCUGUUUAACCGCAGCCCAGUGUCCAGUCUGCUUCUUGGACUGUGUUUUGAAGCACUGCCAGAGAGCUGGAUACAACUCGGUUAACAGCUGGUCUUUCCUUAUCUUCAUUGUAUUUCCACCCUGUCAGUCUAAGUUUAUCGUCUUUCCCUCAAGGGAAGGGUGCAUGUCUCCUUACUGUCCCCCUACUAUCCCAUUUGGAUCACAGAGUGGUUCCAGUAGGAGAUACCCUUGCAAGAACGGAUUGGCAAGGGCGUUAUUUGCUCCGGCAACAACAAAGCCUUGGAUCCGAAGAUUUGUUGUCAAGUUUACAAAGGGGGUGUUUCCCACCCUUUCCUCCCACCCUACCCUUGUAGACAUCUGAGAUCUCCAAAAAAAAGUCUCUCUUGAAGGUCAGGGGCCAUCAUGAAUAUUGUGGAAUGGGACACAGGGGCUGCUGGGUGUGGAGCCAAUUCCUAGGGGCUGAGGUCCCUUUGGCCCCUUUAAUAAAAUAUUUUAGAGGGCCAGCCCCCCAGCUGAUGGACAUUGUCAUUCCAAUAGUGUGUAUGCACCGCAUCUUGUGAUUGAUUACCUUCCCCCCCUCCAUAUUUUAUUCAAGUUGGCACCCCUGGUGGUGGGAGAUGGGAAAUGUAACUUUCCUUCUGUGAACUUCCUUAGGAUCCAUGCCAAAGCAGAGGCUCAGAGAGACUCCAAUAACCAAAAUGUCUCUUUUACUUCUUGUUAUUGGAAAGGGUGAUAUUAGAGAAGCUUAGGAGAGGAAGGGAGUGCCUCUCUUGUACCACAUGCAGUAUCUUUAUAAGUAAAAAAAAAGGUAAAGUGACCCCUGACCAUUAGGUCCAGUCGUGGCCAACUCUGGGGUUGCGGUGCUCAUCUCGCUUUAUUGGCCGAGGGAGCCAGCGUACAGCUUCCAGGUCAUGUGGCCAGCAUGACUAAGCCACUUUCUGGUGAACCAGAGCAUCACACGGAAACGCCGUUUACCUUCCCGCCAGAGCGGUACCUAUUUAUCUACUUGCACUUAAGGGUGCUUUCAAACUGCUAGGUGGGCAGGAGCUGGGACUUAGCAAUGGGAGCUCACCCUGUCGCGGGGAUUCAAACCACCGACCUUUUGAUUGGCAAGUCCUAGGCUCUGUGGUUUAACCCACAGCGCCCACCCGCAUCCUAUCUUUAUAAGUACCAGAAGAUAGUUAGGUCUGGUUAAGGGAUUUUGACGCACACACAUCUUUCUUCCUGGCCAACUGUUUUAGGAGGAGGAGGAGGAGCAGCAAAAUGUAAUUCCCAUUUAUAAAAACAUAAUUUAAUUUUCUCACAUACGAAAGAUCACAGCCUUUGACUGAAUUUAGUUAGAAUAGCUGCUACUCCAUGGUUGUCUGCACAAAAUCACUAAUGUCACUAGGGUUACCGCGUUCUACUUAUAAAUCUGAAUUGUACCCCUUUACUAUUAAAAUAUCCUGAUUGUGACUAACAGGAUGGUUAAAGUGAUGGCUAAGCUUAUGAGUACUGAAGUUGUUUUAUGUUUGUGAUGAGGCUUGCCUCCAAGCAAAAACGGUUGGAGACAGGCCAUUAAAUGUGAAAUAAUGUAAGUAGGCAAUUUGCAUAAGUAGACCAUUUGUGUGAGCGGGAAAUGUGUCAGGCUGCAAUCAUUUACCCAUUUUCCUGAGACCAUGCCUCCGGAUGGAUCAAGCUGUCACUUUCGGAUUCUCAUUUUUUUCACUUCUUAAAUUCAGCUCACCACAUUUCUACACAAGUUUGCAAUUUUUAAAAGUCCUCAUGAAAAUUUACCAGCAUUUUCCCAAACAGACACAUUUUUGUAUGUUAUUUUGCUGGCAAUUUCUCCCGAACAAAAUGCUGGUGGUUUUUUUGUUUGUUUGUAUUGUUUUUGGUUUUUUUGUAUGCUGUUUUCACAAUUACAUGCAAUUUCCCACAAUUCCCCUUAAUAUACACAUUUUUGUACAUAUUUUGCUUGAAAACUUGAACAAAAUUUCUUCUCCAUCCCACAAACAGGGCACUGAAGUCCUUGCUCAACCACUGGGUGGACUUGCACACGUUAUUAUUUUCCAGUGAAAUCUCUGCUUCACAAGGUUGUUGUGAGAAAAUGAUAUACCAUAGUCUAGGCAGCCCUGAGUGUCUUGGAGGAAAGCUGAGUGUGAUCAUUUUUGGUGGUGGGACCCCACUUGUUCAGUAUCCUCCCUAAGGAGACUCACCUGGUGCCCACUUUGUUACUAUUUAAGUGUCAAGCAAAUACCUUUUCCUGGCUUCUAAUUUCUUAAUUAUUUUAAUCUGCUGUGACUUUUGGUUGAUUGUUGUUUUAUCCUGUGCUGUUGUUUUGUUUUAUAUCUUUUCUAAUAAUUGUAUUUGUAUGUUCUUAUAUUACUCUUCUGUAAGCAUCAAGAGAAUGGUCACUGGCCAUUAAUAAUGUGUGGUAUAGAUUUCUGCAGAGUGUAAGGUUCAGAAAAAGCAGUUAUAAUAGUAAUAAUAAAGAAAUAACGAAAAGGCAGCUAGGCACCUGGCCUACAGCAAAGAAAGUACCGGUAACUCUUUAUGUAUGGAUAAUUGAAUCUCCUUGUUUGUAGAAAUUUAUGCAGUGUGAGUUAGACAGAGAAAAUCCUGAGCAAAAUAAAUAGUCUGUCUGUGGCUGAAGGUUAUCCUAUUUUAAAUGAAGAGAUAUCUUUUUUACUCCCUGGAACAGUUAAUGAAGCAAUUAAAUAAGGUGACACUGAAGAUGGUGCCUCCUAUCACCCCAAUCAACACUUUUCUUAAUGUGACACCUUCCUGGCUAUAAUUUUCUUGACCUCUUGUUUGCAUACAAGUUUUCUGUCUAUUAAUGCUCAUUGAAAAAACACACUGACUACAGAUUUUACUAGAGCCAUUAUUCUCAAGCGCUCGAUCUCAAGUGACACACUGCCCAAUCUAAAUAUAAGGCUGAAAUAAUAUUCUUUUUAUCUGGGAGUAAUCCAUAUUGAACUCAUCAAGACUCUCUUUUUGAUCAGACACCUAUAAUCCUGCACUGCAAAUGGGUUGCAUGCCUCCCCUUGUGUUUUGUGUUGAUUGCUGGUUCCAGAAACCUUUGAAGUCACCUCUUUUUGUUUCUCUUCACGCAGCAAAUCAUUUUGCUUCCACUCAGUGUCCACAGAUUAAUUGAACUCUUACAGGGAAUCAACAGGAGCUUGCAGCUGUUUGAACAGGAGGAAAGUGUGGUUUUUGAGUUCUCUGCUAUCAGUUCAUCUGUGGCUUGACUUGUUUUCUUGAACUGUUCUCCUUUGUAUAAGUUUUGAGUUCUCUGUCAUGGUUUGUUAUUUCAUCUAGCGUUCUCAGCCUCAGUGUUUGUCAUCUGUAAAAUGGGCACAUUCUCUUCUAGAAUUUUUAAAUGUUUAAUUCCUUAACAAUGUGCUCUCUCUCGCUCUCUCGCUGUGUGUGUGUGUGUGUGUGUGUGUGUGUGUGUGUGUGUGUGUUGUCCUACAUUUGCCUUAAUGUUGUGAUCUGCAUCUGAUCUCACCUGCGUAACUUGUUGUAUGUAGUUUUGCUUGCAACAGAGCUGGAGUUCACAUGCUGUUCAGUUUUUAGCAGUGAAUCAGCUGUGACAGCAUACUCACUGCAUUUCACUGAGAUGUACAAUCACCUUGUGGGGCAUCUUUAGGAGAAGAAAAGGCUAAGCCCUACACAAAUUCAGAGUGGAGUCCCUAAGACUGUUGAAUGGAGUAUUGUACGCCUCCUUCCAGCAACUCCUGGAGACCUCAUGGUGCCACAUUUUGCCUAAUGCAGCAAAAACAAUGCAAGAGGCAACAGUUACAAGUUGCCUGUCUCUGGGGCCACAGCAGGCGCUGUGAUUCUCCAUCAGAUUGAUUUUGGCCCCAGAGGCACAGUCCAUCUCUCAAGACAGAUGUCAAUGACAAUCGCCUUUGAAGCAUACCUGAAGCGUGCGGGAGGGCACAAAAUAACAAACACAAUGAGCAUUUGAUUUACUGAUAAAUAUACGAUUUGGGGCAGAUUUUGUUUACCAUUCAAACAUGUCAAAUGUCCAGGGAUGGUGAUUAUUCCAGCAACUAAGGUUGUAUUCAGUGAAUUACUACUCUAGAUUAGACCCUAAAUUAGUUGCGUCCAUUAACUCUAGUGGAUCUGCUCUGAGUUUAACUAGCUAUGAAUACAACCCUUAAAAAACUGGUCUUGUAUAUGUGCUAUACAUGAUUCGGAAUCAUGGUUUAGGGUUACAAUGCUUUUUGGUAUGUGAAAGUGUGAUAAUGAAAAUGUGGGUACAUCAACUUAUAUAUAUAUCAUCAGUUUUUGGGAGAACCAGGUGCCUUAGGGUGAAAGGCGGGUAAUAAAUUGUCGUUGUCAUCAUCAUCAUCACCAGCAGCAGCAGCAGCAGCUCUGACUAUUUCACUGUUGCAUGGAGACAUCUCAAUUUAAGCCUCCCCACAUUUUGCACAUGGCAUCAAAAUUAUCGGGGGUGUAUGUGCAGUAACUGUAUUUUAUUUACUUGUAAUUGGCAUACUUUUCUGACAGUAGAUUUAUGGAGAUUAUACAAUAUUCUGCUACUGGUUUCCUCUCCGCCUUCCACCCAACACUUUUGUGGUCCUGUGACAAUGUUAUCAUUUCAAAAGACUGGCUGAAUCCUUUUUAAAUGAUCACUUCCCACCUUGUCCUUUUAAAAGACAGAGUAUGUGUGCGUGUGAAAGACACAAUCUCAUCCCUGCUGAGGAUGAGAUUAAAAAUAAUUUGCAUAAGUGUCCCAGGUCCGUGGCUGCACUGCUGCUGUCCUAAUUGCACUUAUAGCAAGUGUGAUCUGUUUGAAGCAACCCCAGCAGUGAUAGUCCUGGGGCCCCAUUUUAAAUUCAUGUUACUAUUUUUGAAGGGAAUAUCUGUGGAGCACUAAGGUAACCCAUGGCAACCAUCUGCUAAACUGCAAUUCACACUGUCUAGUUUUAUCACAGAGGUGGUGAGUUAUUCAGGCAAUUCUGUUUGUGUGUGUGUAUGGAAAGGGGGUUGGGAAUCAAUUCUCCAAAUCUUGGCAACACAACCACCAUCUUACAGCAACUUUGCAUUUAGUUAAAUGGAACCAUUCAUAGCUAACUCCUCACUCUUUCUUUGUAAUCUGUUUCUAGACACAGGUGUAUUUUAAAAUUGCAGAAUGCAUUUCAAGUUUUUCUCACUGUCUCCUUCACUUUAAUGAGAAGGUUUCCUCUCUGAAAGGCUGAACAGUGUAGAAAACACUAAGUUCCUAUUGAAUAUGCCAAACUCAUAAUACAUCAUUUCCAUAAUGCAUACAUCAUAAUGCAUACAUCAUUAGGAAAGGAGCUGAAAAUAAAACUGCCAGAUCAUAAUGCCGUUAUACAAAUCUAUGAUAUGCCGCACCUCAGAAAGGAUGCCAUAGAGUUGGAAGAGGUUCAGAAAAAGGCACCCAAAAUGAACGGUGGGGUGGAACGACUGCCCUAUGUAGAAUGGUCGCAGCAAGGCAAGCAAGAGGCAACAUGAUAGAAGUGUAUAACAUUAUGUAUGGCAUGGAGAAGGGGACAGAGAAAAGCCCUCUGCCCCCCCCCCCCACAAACUCAUGGCACUAGGACUCUUGCACAUCCAAUGAACCUGAAGAUUCAAGACAGAUUGGGUUAAACCACAGAGCCUAGGGCUUGCCGAUCAGAAGGUUGGCGGUUCAAAUCCCCGCAACGGGGUGAGCGCCUGCUGCUCGGUCCCUGCUCCUGCCCACCUGGCAGUUCAAAAGCAUGAAGUGCAAGUAGAUAAAUAGGUACCGCUCCGGCGGGAAGGUAAACGGCGUUUCCGUGCGCUGCUCUGGUUCGCAGAAGCGGCUUAGUCAUGCUGGCCACAUGACCCGGAAGCUGUACGCCGGCUCCCUCGGCUAAUAAAGCGAGAUGAGCGCUGCAACCCCAGAGUCGUCUGCAACUGGACCUAAUGGUCAGGGGUCCCUUCACCUUUAUUUUUACCUUUACCUCAUAUCACACAUAGUUAAACUAUAGAACUCGCACCCACAGGAGGCAGUGAUGGCCACCAACCGAGAUGGAAUUAAAAGAGGAGACCAAGUCAUGGAGGAAAGAGCUAUUGAUGGCUUCUAGCCAUGAUGGCUAUGCUCUGCCUCCACAGUUGGCGGCAGCAAUGCUUCCGAAUAACAGUUGCUGGAAAUCACAACCGGGGCGGGAAGUACUGUAGUGCUCAAAUCCUGCUUGCGGGUUUCUCAUAAGCAUCUGGUCAGCCACUGUGAGAAAAGAGUGCAGGACUAGAUGGACCACUGGCCUGAACCAGCAGGCUCUUCUUAUGUUCCAUCCUGAUGAUCUUUCCGAAGGACAAAUCCUAUAGAGAAGGAAUAUGGAACUUGUGCCACACACACCCCAACCUGGUUGGACUACAGUUCCCAUUAUCACUGACCAUUAGCCAAGCUGAGUUAGAAGCCAACCACACCAUCUUCUCUAGAGGACAAAUCUGAUGGCACUUGAGUCCUAAGAAGUUGAGAUUAGGCCUUCUUCAGUGCAGCCCUUCCUCACAAGCCACAGAGAAGCCUCAUUCACACAUCAUUAUCAUCUGAACUGUGGCUUACUGGAACUGUACUGGCUUCAUGGGACAAACCUUGGCUGCAGAUCAUGGUUGAGAAAGAGACCUUAACCGUGACCUUGGGCUCAGAUAGCAUGCUAAGCCAACUUGUGGCUUAGAUCAGGCACAAGCAAACUCCGCCCCUCCAGAUGUUUGGGACUACAAUUCCCAUCAUCCCUGACCACUGGUCCGGUUAGCUAGGGAUGAUGGGAAUUGUAGUCCCAAACAUCUGGAGGGUCGGAGUUUGCCUAUGCCUGGCUUAGAUGCUGUCCAUACUAACCAGGGAGGAGCAAACAUGUUUGCACAGUCCGAGUAAGCAAACCCAGUGGAUUCAGAGGUCUACCCCUAGAAUUGCAUUGGUGGCUACUAGUCAUGAUGGCUAAAUGGAGCUUCCAGGCAGUGUGCCACUGAGGGCAAGCUGCUGCAGAACAACAACAGGAGAUGGCUACCCCCUUCUAAUCUUGCUUAUGAGGGAAAGGAUGCUGGACCUGACGGACCCUUCAUUUGAUCAAGCAGGGCUAUUCUUUGCUUCAUAGAUUUGUGAACAGACACCUGUGGGGGAAGCCAACAGAAUCUGGAAGGAAGGUGGGGAAAGGCUCCUCACCAUAGCUUCCCCUAUACCGUCCCCUCAUGCUGGCUGCAAGAGACAAUUAUUAGCCCGCAGUGGUGUUAUCAACCUGCACUGCUGGGUCAUGUUUCUGCCACUGCCCACAAUGGAAGAAGAAAGCAUUGAUUCCCAGCUUCUCUGUAUUGCAGCGGCAGAAGCUGAGCCUGUGCCUAUUGUGGUUAUUUCCACGCCAGAACCAAUACGGUUUCCUUAUCUGCGUAUGAAGAUGUCACAAUCCACGUGGAGUAUUGUGAAAUAUGCUAAGCAACCUGGGGCCUAUUCUUUUGUGGGCCCUGCAGCCUCUCACGCUUCCAUCAAAAGCACCAAGCUGGGAGCAAAGAAGCUCUUGUUUAGGUGCAACCAAUGCACACCAGUGGCUUUUAAACAUUGUUGGCAUGCACAAGGUAUUGAAGAUGGUGACUUUCUACAUGUGAGGGCACUCAUGAGAGAUGUUAUGGUGCUGUAUACAUUCUGCCAUUCCGUUGCAACUGCUGAUAAAUGUGAGAUCCAAUUCUAUGUGGGGAAAUUGUUGGUUUCAAUGAGGGCUCCGGUACAGAAGCACAACUUUUCUUGUUUAAAAUCACAGAACACAUCCUGGCGGCGUCUUCUUCUGUGGGAUAGAAUGUGGCCCUCCAGACCUCUCUAUCUGGCCCUCAGAACUCUGCCCAGGCUGCACUCUUCACCUAUUUCACCCCACACACACCCCAAGCCCUGUUCCUCCUUCUGAAGUGGCUGACAGCAAGGCACUUGCCAGGAGAGCUCCCUUCUCCAACCUUGUUUCCCACCAAUCAGGGCUCCCCUCUGCUUCUUCCUCCUCCUCCUCUUCCUGCAUCAGGGCUUGUCAACUGAAGCCCCAUCGCAACAGCACUGCAGGGCUCCUGACAGCCUUAUUGUAAUUUCUUUUCUCUCAGCUUAACGAACAAUUGCAGCACAAAAACCUUCAAGUUCCCAGCUCUAUUGUCUGGAGGUGUGGGUGGGUGUUGUGUAGUUGAUGAGGGUGGUGUGAGUCACCUGCCCACCCCCCCUCCCAGUCUUCUUCACCAUGCCCACUCCUUGGCUCUGAGUUGAAACUCUGACACAGUGUGGGGAAAGCCUUUUCAGCUUCGCCAAUCCCUUAUCACAGUGCUUUAUUUUUUCUCUAUUAAAAAAAAAUGUUUAGGGGUACUCUCAUUUUGACUCAUGAAAAUCACCAUUUUAUAGUUCAAAUCGGGGGAAAUAAAUACAGUAAAUGGACAAAAGUAGAAAGAUUCACAAAAUGCUUAGGGGUCUGCGUACCCCUGCAUCCCCCCCAGAAAAAAGCAUUGCCUUAUCAGUUACACACCCACACCCACCCACCCAUACAAUAUUACUUUGUGCACCAUUGCUGGUUUUUUUUUUUUUGGUUUUUUUUUUCAUAUGGUACAUAUAUAUUCAAAGUGUCAUAGUUCAGCACCUGCUUUUAUUUGAGCAUCCAUACUAUGUCAUGUAUAAUCAUCUCUCUAUACAAAACCCUCCUGUGGAUCAUUUUGCAAAGCAAAGGCAAUUCCAGCACCUGAUAGGGAUCAGUAACGUUGGGGUCUCCUAUUUGUUCAAUGCCCUGCCCCUCCUUGUAAUCUACUUACGUUCUUCCUAUAAGCUCAUCAUUCUGUUAAUAUUUCAGUUCCCGGCAUCUACUUAUACCGGGUGUACAACAUGUCAAAAAGCAGGCAGCAUCCAAUGGCUCUCCUCCUUUAUCUUAUCACAGAGGUUACAAGAAAUAACUGCACAUGCACAAGAGCUAAAUAAUUAAAUCCACACAGCCCUUCCAAUGUGCAGUGCAUUAAUGCAUGUUUCGCAAAGGUCUGCUACUACACCGUGCAGGUGCAAGAUCGUGUAGGCAGACCCCUUUUUUGUCACUAGUGCUUUAAGCAACAGCCAUUAAUUUUUUUCCAAAUCACACCUUUCCCCCCUCCUUUUAUACUGAAGGUAGGAGACAGAGGCAUUCUGGUUUGGGCUUCAGAGAGACAGCACUGGUGGCUCCGCAAACCCCAUCUCUGGGAAUUCAAUCACUGUAUAGAGAAAGGUGUCCUGCAAAGUGGGAAAUGGGAAAAGUUCUUAUCCCUCCCCCCAAACAUCCCUAUAUAAUACAGAAUGGUUAGUUUUUAACCUCAUAACAUGCAUUUCCCACACCCCCAAACUCUCAUGCCUGCUCCAAAAUGCUCAGCAUACAGUAAGCUGUUAGGGCCUUAGCAGGUCAAUUUUCUUUCCCUCCCUGCAACACCUUUUGUCUCUCUCUCCAAAAAAAAAAAGUUUUAAAAGAAGCAGUGGCUGAGUCACUGUUAAGGACAGUUCAGAGACAAAGUAUGACAUUUGGUAAUGAUUCAUUUCCUGUCCCUGCCUAAAUCUCUGCCUCCUUACUUAAUCAGCCAUGUUUCUAGUUAAUAUUGUGGUCAACAAAUGAAAGUUAUGUGAGCCCUUCUGUGGGGUUUUUCUUUAUCUAUACCUGACCACUGUGAGAAGAGCCUUCUUGGAAGUUUGGUCAUAUGGGUGACUCCUUCCAGACUAUGCCAACAAUGCUGUAGACUGCGCAUACCAUUUCCUGGAACACAUGAGGUAAAGGUCAUUCGGUGUAGACGCACGGCAGCCACCCACACACCAAAUUCCUUUGUUCAGAAUUUUUCUUGAAACUUGGUUUUUCCCAGAGGUCUGCUGAACUGAACAAAAAACAAACACCAAUAGAUCCUUACUUUUGUACAUUGGACACUGCCUCAAACCAGGUCAGACACUUUGCUCACCUAGCCCAGCAUAGCUUCCUCAGAUGAACAAAGCCUCUCCAGUGUCUCAGGGGGCAGUCCUGCCAAUUACCUGCAGUGGACAUAUCCACGAUUCAUGUUAGGGGGAUAGGAUUUAUGUGGAGGAGGGGGGCAGAACUGAGCUUCAGUUAAGUAUUUCUAUUUAUUUACUUGAUUUAGGGGAAGGGGCAGGUGCCCCCCUGGCUACACCCAUGUGACCUGCUACCAAAUUGCCUUUUUAUAAAACUGAUACCAGGGAUUGAACCUGGGACUUUGGCAUGCAGACCACUGAGGGCAUGGCCAGAGAGCUUUCUCUCUUUUCCUGCAACUUUCCCCUGUUGACUGCUGAAUCGGAAUAAGCAUCAAUGCGGAUUGACUUUGUUCCAACUCAGCAGUAAACAGUGGGGUUUUCCUAGGGAAGUGUGGACAAACUUAAAGUUAUGAUCAAUCCACCCUUAUCUACCAUCAGGCUGACCCAAUUUGAAAGCAGGAAGAGGGGAGACAAUUCCUCUUUAGAUCAUAUCCCCAUCCUGGGAACUAGUUUGUUAAGGGUACAGAGAAUCCUAUGAGGUAAACUACAGUUCCUAUGAUAUUUGGCGGGGAGAGCCAUGUGCUUGAAAUGUAUAGUGUCAAUGUGACCUAAGUAAGGGAUGGGGAACUGUCAUGAAGGCAGCUUGGGAUCAGAGAGGGAAGGCCCAGAGACCAAGACAGUGGCUGUCUAUCUGUUUUUUUAUAAUCCUCCCCUGUCAGUCAUGUCUGCUGCCUUGGAAUACCUGUUCAAGGAAGUUCAGCAAUCUAUGCCUAUUUGUUUCAUGAGCCUCGGGGCACUUGCUAGGAACCCAAGUUAACCCUAUACUACCCCCAAAGAGCAGACAGGUAAAAAUACACAAUCUUGUUUUAUACGCUAGCAGACCAGGAUAAUAAAGCCCAUUUCCUUCUCUGGCCCUGUCAGGGUGUUUCUAGACAAAUGGACAUAACUUUCCUGUAAUGUAACUUUUCUUUAAGUCCUGUUCAUCUGAGAUAGCCAUCAGCCGCAGGAACUUGUUUUUCCUUUUUGGCAAACUUGCAUAGAUUGACUCCUCGUUCCAAAUAUUCACUCAUUGUUCUCAACCAUUCAAAAUCUUCAGAUUCAACUCCCAACGUCACUGACCAUUGGCCAUGCUGGUAGGGACUGGUAGAAGUUGGGAAUACAGCAACAUCCAGAGAUCCACAGCUUCCCCAAUCCUCUUCAAAAUGAUCCUGUGGAUAAUAAAUUCCCACCCCAUGCAGAAGUCCCCUCAGUGUUGAUGCUCUUUACCGUUUGUGGCCAUAACAUUUUACAAAUCUUACGAGCUACGAUUUUCAGGCUCCCUGUAGACACACUUUUGGCAGCAUUGUUGAAACAUGGAGUACAGAUCUAGAUAGACUGACAGAAAGCAAAGUGUCUGUGUCUCCGACUCCUUGGAAGUCGAAAAACACAAAACUGUCUUUCUUCUGAAAGAAACUGCUGCGAUAAUAACAGUUUUCACAGCAGGGGGCUUGUUUGACCUCCAAAAUCCUCUCAAAUCCAGGGAUGCUCAUUGAACAUUUCACAUAGGUGGCAUUGCACGCUGACACAGUUGUGCUAUGUGACUUUAGAAAUAACAACGCUAUACUGAUGGGAAAGUAGAGGGCAAGAAACUUUUUUUUUUCAUUUAUGGUGGGAGAGCCCACUGGCAAAAAAGUUCUGGUCUAAUGUGUAUCAGGAGGUAUCUGCUAUCUUAAAGACUACUAUACAAAUGGCCCUGCAGUUUUCACUUGUAAAUAUAUGCAAUGGUCAUACUCAAAAGAUUGCAACCUAAAGGACAGGUAACAUGGCUGCUGGUGUAUCCAUGGCACAAAAAUGGAAGACUUUUCAGGAUCUGCUGAUAUCCUUGUGGUAUAAAAAAAUGUAUGAAAUCCGGCGAUUACAGAAAAGAUAGCCCAUAAUAUAAAGGUUUCCAAAGGCUCAAAAACCCAGAACAUUUUCAUACUGUUUGGUGAGACUUCUUAGAAUCAUCCUCUUUGUCAAAGAAAUAAACAACUAUCUGGCUUUUAGAAGAUAUCUGAAGGCAGCCCUGUUUAGGGAAGUUUUUAAUGUUUGGUGUUUUAUUGUGUUUUUAAUAUUCUGUUGGAAGCUGCCCAGAAUGGCUGGGGAGGCCUGGCCAGAUGAGCGGGGUAUAAGUAAUAAAUAAUAAUAAUUAUCAUCAUCAUCAUCACCAUCAUUUUCCUAGUUCUUAAAGUGCUACAGCUGUACAUUUACUUUGGAGUAAAGCCACUAAACUCAGUGGGGCUUAUUUCCAAGUAGUCAUUGCACUAUAUGUUACAUCACAAAUGUGUAACUAAAUCAUAGUGGCUUCAAGAAAGGAAUUUGAAGUAGAGUAGCAGCAUGAGGUAAGAGGGAUGCUGAAUCAUUUCUUGGCACAUCUCUCUCUCUCUCUCUCUCUCUCUCACACACACACACACACACACACACACACAAAACUCCUCUGUAAGAUGACCCUUGGGGUCCCUUCCAACUCUAUAAUUCUAUGAUCCUAAGGGUUCCAAACAGGUUUGGAAAUGGAAACACCCAAUUGGUUCCUUGCAGAAGAGAGAAGUGGCUUGGGGGCAAUUUGGAGCUAGAAAGCAACAGGCAGUGAAAGAGUUAAAUAUUAAACAAACAAACAAACAAACAAACAAACACACCCCACCAUGUUUUUCUGCCCCAGAUCCCUUUCUCAAAGCUGCCAUUGGGCUCUCGUUAUAUGUGCUUCAUGUAUGAGGUAUACUUAGGCCAGUCAUAAAUUCUGUAGGAGGCACCGCUGGUCACAUUCAGAAUUCCAUAAUUAGGGUCUUUAAGAGUCCUGAUCUAGGGCUCAUAGGGAGGAUGCAAUUUUCUGUCACCACAGAUUUCUAGGCUGUUCUCGGGCCAGUCGUUUGUUCUCUUAAUACCUCCAUUCCCCUUGAAGGAACUAAGGGAUAAUAGGUUUCUCUCUCACCGCACUGUUGUGUGGAUAAACACAUUAAAGCAUAAGAGACAUUCAUAUAGGCUGCAGUAAUUGGGCGAAAAUGUAUUAGGCAUGAAGGAAUGCAAGCGGGCGAUGGUGGUGCACAGACAGACUACCCCCAAGGCAGUGAAGCUGGUACAGAGAAUGAUUUAGCAAUAUGAAACAAAGGGGGCGUGGCGCCCUGGGACUUGUGGCAGAGGAGGCAGAGCAAGGGUGGCAAGACUUGGCAGGUGGAAGGAAGGGAAAGUUUCCUUUGCCUCCAGCAAAUGCAUGGAUCUGGCUGCAAGAGUUUGACAGCUGCUGAUUUCUGCUUAGUGCAUCUCUCAGCCCAAAGUUGUAGCCAACGCCUAAUCUGUCACUACAAGACACGGGGGGCAUUCAUGUGUUCAGGGAUAACCAGUGCUUUUUCUUCUUCUGGGGGGUACUCAAGGGUACCGGUAUCUUUCCCCCUAGAAGAAAAGCACUAGUUAAAAGUUUGGCAUUCACUGUAACAACUGGCAUAUUUUUUUCCUAGAAGAAAAGCCCUGAUCUAAACCAUGUGAAUAAGUUUGAGAGCUGCACUAUUUAUAGGGUGAUUGGUUUAUGAUUGGUUCAAGCUGCAUCGUAUUUAUUUAUUUAUUUAUUUCCCCCACCCAUCCUCCAGGGAGCCCACUGUGCAAUAUAUCUAUGGGUUUUCCCUCCCCCCCCCUCCAUAUUAUCAUCACAACAGACCUGUCAGGUAGGUUAGAUGGAGAACUGGUGAGCAGUCCGAGGUUACCUGGCAGGCUUCAUAGUUCAGUGGGGAUUUGAAUCCUGGAUAUAGGAUAUUCAUUUCCAGAAAGGUUAGCCUUUUAAAAAUUAAAUAGCAGGCAUGGGUCUGCAUCCUGGAUCUUGGUGUGAAGAGGUAGCAGGGGCUUUAAUUCCCCCUUGUGAUCCUGAUCCAGAUCAGAGGCAUGCAUGUUUGCUAUUUGCAUUGUAAGAAAAGCUGCCCCCCACCCAAUCCAAAUGGCUUUCAAAUCUGUAUUGGGACCACUCUCAGAUCAAUGGUUUAAAGCCCUUCUACUUCCCAAUCUGGACCAGGUCCCCUAUGCCUGCCAUUUGCUUGCUUAAAAGCCACUCACACAACUGCUAAUUGAGUGUCAUUUUGUCCAGUGUGGUUCUGAGUGCCAUUAACUCUUCCUCCAAAGAAUCCCAGUAGAUGCACAUACAGAUUCAGUUUUUAAAGCCAGUGAGAAUGCAGUGCAAUACUAUGAGCGACCAUCAGUCCCUCCUGCAUGCAUACCCAUCUGAUAAAAGAUUAUAGCAGCCUUAUUAAUUAUAGUUAUUGUACCAGACCAAUUUGUCAGCUCAGAAUGUGUCUCAAGAUCAGAGUCUUCUGUUGUGCAAAUAACCAUUAAUACUUGCCCCGUCUGUAGCAGUGGGAGACAAUUAUCCCGAGACAAGACUGCUUUGAACUGAUACAAUCUCUUAAUUAUAUGGUACUCUGUAAUAUAGUCUACCAUCAUUAUAGUAAUAACAGAAUAAAUGAAUGCUCUCUUCACCAAAGUCAUACUUCUAUCCUCCAAAAAUGCCUCCAGACAUCUGAAACUUAUUCUGCAAAUGCUGACACCUGGAAGGAUGAAACCCUGAGACUUUUUUCCAAAGUCCCAGCUGGCUCAUCUCAUAAUAGCACAUUUACUUUUGGGGAAAAAUACCCCACCUUUCCACCUAUUUUUCCCUGGACUUUUCCCUUGGUUUCUGCCCCACCAAUAGAAACAAUGCUAACAUCCCAUUUUAUGGGAUUAACCCAAACGUGGUAAAUCCAUGUUAAUCCAAACACCAUGCCCUACUGACAUGACAGUGACAUACCACUGAAAUAUAAGAACUGUCAAUCAACUAAAGAAGGAAAUUAUAAAGGAAUGAAACCUAAUUGGUGUUGGGAACAAUGGAAUAGGAUUCCCGCCUAUCAGCUAUUCAAACAGGUGGAUGUUUUUGAAGCAAAGUACACAACAGGCAUCAAUAACUCCUUAAUGCAGGUGAACACAUGCAUAUUAGAACACACACUCAUGAUAAACCUCCAAGUAUCACAAUAAUGGAGAAAUAUUUACACAGAUUAAAUUAAUAUUUAUCUCUUUUCUUCCCCAUCCCGUAAGCAAUCCUUACUCUUUGUCAAAAGACCUAUUAAGGUGACACUACAACCCGAGUUAUUCAUGAGAAAACAUUACAGCUGUCCCUAGACAAUCAGAACAUGCUGAAACAGCUGUAUGACAAGAUGAGUCACCAUUAUUAAUCACCGAUUCUUUAUUGCAUGAGGUAGACACACACAAAUGGCCAUGAAGCUGGAAGGUGAUUGCUUCUUGUCUUUUGUGUGAUGACUAGCAGUGCCUUUACCACUGUCCUUCCUCCCAGGGCAGAACUGAAGACCAUUGCUUCACCAAUGUGACCGCAGCUUGUACUUCUGAGGGCUUCUUGUUGUGUGUAAUAGACAAAGCCUAAACACAAUCAUGUCUUGUGAAAAGCCUUACAUGGCUCAGGACCUCAAUACCUUAAGGACCGCCUCUUCCAAUACAACCCAUUUGUCAUCUGAGGCUCUUCUCUAUGUCCCCCUUCCCCAAAAGGUUUGGAGGGAGCGGCAACAAGAGAACAGGCUUUUUCUGUGGUGGCUCCCUGACUGUAGAAUGUUCUCCCCAGAGAGGCUCGCCUGGUGCCACAUGUAAUGUCUUUAGGCACAGGCAAAGACAUUCCUCUUUACCCAGGCCUUUAGCCAUUAAAUAAUCUAUGGCCUGUUAAAUAAUCUAUGGUCUGAUGGGGGAAGAGAGCUGUUAUUAUGAUUAUUUUAUUAUUAUGCUGUCUGUGAUUAUGCUUUUAGUAUUGAUGCUCUGUAAAAUGUAUUCUUAAUGUUGUACACUGCCUCGGGAUCUUUUGAUAAAGGGCAGUAUCUAAAUCAAAUAAAUGAAAUAAAAGGAUAAAAAAGCACUGCAAAUGCAGUUAAUCAUGACUUAUUUAAAUUCCACUGAUUUCAGCAGGGCUUUGUUGUUGUUUAGUCGUGUCCGACUCUUCAUGACCCCAUGGACCAGAGCACGCCAGACACUCCUGUCUUCCACUGCCACCCGCAGUUUGGUCAAACUUAUGCUGGUAGCUUCGAGAACACUGUCCAACCAUCUCAUCCUCUGUCGUCCCCUUGUCCUUGUGCCCUCCAUCUUCCCCAACAUCAGGGUCUUUUCCAGGGAGUCUUCUCUUCGUCACUGCUAACUGCUAACUUUGGCUAAAUUGUGGCCACUCUUUGACGGUUGAGGUUACCUGUUCACAAUUUUUCUUGCACUGUUGACAGUCUUUCAAUGGGCAGUGCUGUUCCAAACUCUGAAGUGUUGGAAUGCUUGAUAUCACGUCUAUUCAAACUCAUUUUGUUUCUAGACAUCUUUCAAACGUGCCAAAUCAAGUGGACUUGACUUCUUCGAGUACACACAAUCUGCUUCUUCUCCAGCCUGCAUUCAGAGCAUGUGUUUCUGUGUGGAAUUCUUUUUGCAACCCCUUCACCCAGCCUCAGUGCAACACACGCUCGUUCAAUGCAAUUUGUUAUAGCUUCACAUUGUUCAAUUUGUUCCUGUACAUAGAAAUUUUAAACUUUCCUCCUGCCUAAAUCUCUUCUAACAGGGAAGGAAAAUAUUUGGAGCUGUCAAGUUAUGGAGCAGUUUCAGUGCCUGACAACCUUCCUGGAAUGAUUAAACUACAUCUGUGCCACCAUAAAAUAUGAAGAGGUAUUAUAUUUCUUUGUACGAUAUGAGUGAAAAAGUUGGAGGGAGAAAUAGAAUGCCCUGUGAUUUAGGAGUGGAAACCACAACAGCAAAACCCACCCGCACAAUAUGCUUCUUGGAUCCCUGAUAUCAUGAACAUGAUUUUCCAUCAUUUGUUUUCACUGCAUCACAGUGUGUUCCAAGGUGAUAAAAAGCAGAUAUAAAUGAAGAUGAGAAAUUACAUUCUAAAACUGAAAAGUAACCUAAAAACACAGCACUAGCCUCAAAAGUGAAUUGAAGACCAUUCCUGAUGAGACUCCUAUGCAUAUAUGAAUACUGUAUUAUUACUAAUGGCUCAUACAAUGUAUCAUGUAUCAAAAAAAUACAUUUAAACCGCCCCCAACCAAUUAUAUUGAAUGUAUAUAACUGCAAUACAUCAUCCUCUGUAUGGUUUAUAAUCUCGCUGUUUAAGAAAUGCACGUAAAUAUUUUAACGGCUACAACAUCACUAAUAUUACACCAAUAUAUACAGAAGAAAAAAUCAUUUAAAGGCCAGCUAGACUUGAUGCCAGAAUGAUCUGACCAGGGUCAUACCAAAUCAUGAUAUGUUGGGGAGGGGUGUGGUCAAUUUAAAACACAACAGAGGGAGGGGAGGGGUCAACUGACCCACCUUUCUGGGGCUUCCACCUGCCCCACUGGGACAUACUGGCCCUGGAGGCAGCUCUGCAUGUCACGUGCCUCAGAAAGCUGUUGGGCUCUCUCUUCUGGAAGCUUCUCCUUUUCCCUAUUGAAAGACAGUGUGGUGCAGUGGUUAGAGCAUCAUACUACAACUUGGGAGACCACUUGCCAUGAAGCUAAGUAACCUUGGGCCAGCCACUGUCUCUCAGCCUAGCCUACCUCACAGGGUCGUUGGGGGGAUUAAAUGAGCUCCUUGGACAAAAAGGUGGGAUAUACAUGCAACAAACAAACAAACCUUUCUGUUACUCAUGCCUUCCCUACCCACCACUGCUCCUUGGCCCUUCCCCCCCCCCUCAUGGUGAGUGAUAUUUAUGGUCCCUGAGUAGGAAGAAAAUGGGAAGAAAUUAUUGUGGGGGAAGGGCAAGGGUCCAGCACCCUCUCCCCACUUAAUGCUUUAAGCAACCAUAUUCUGACACACAGAUAUCUGUAAUAUCAUACUUAACAAGAAGUAAGCGCCGCUGAAUUCAGUGGGACUUAUUCCCACAUGUGUCGAGAAUUGCAGCCUUAGUUUGGUCCUCACAGUUAAAAGAAUGCUAUAACUGAGGUACCUAUAACUGCAGUAAAACAGUGCUUUAAGAAGACUGCCCAGUUUCUGAAAAUAAAUAUCUUAGCUGCUCAAAAACCACAAUUCCAGUGUUGCAAUUGCUUGUAUAAUUCAUCCCAAGGGGUGGGGGGUCCCUAGCUAUAGUUUGCAGGAAGGAAAAAGAGCAUGCAGUGCAAAAAGUCAAGUUACAAAACUCUGAACAUUUCUUGUCAAAAUUAUAUGUCAGCUGAACAAUUCCAGAUCACAUAUGUAAAGAAAUUGUAAUUUAAUGCUUUGUUGAAUCCAUGCCUAGUCCUACGAUUAUGCUCUCAGAAGUGAAUCUCACUGAAUUCAAGGCGACUUACUCCCUAGUCAGCAUGUUUAGGGUAGCAGUCGUAGAUGGACUGUACCAGUAUACGUCUCCACUAGACUGCAUCCUAAUUGUAAUGAUUUCCAAUAUUCAUGAAAAAUAAUAAUUGGCUGAAUAAGUGUUAUCUAAAUGCCCUGAGUAGAAAAAUGAAUUGAUUGCAAUAUGGUGUUUCCAAUGAUUAGGUGAUAUAUGCCUUACAGAUUUCUUUAAAAAUCAAAAUUUCUUACAGCAUCUAAAAAAACACAUCCCUUUCUGAAUAUAAAGCAAAGAGUAUUACCUCUUAAAAUUAACAGAAAUGUAUAAGGUUUGACUAGAACUGCAGUCUGGUUACAGAAUAUUGGGUCACUCAACCUUAACUCACAAUUUCUUCAGUGGAUGCAGGUCAUUCGAAAGAUUACAUUCCAAAAUAUAGCCAAUAAUAAUAGAAGCCACCUAUUAGACUUCUGGCAUGCAAUAUGUCUCACCAUUGGUGAUGCCUGCACAAGACAGAAAGUCAAUGUGGGCUUUUUUUAUGUCAGCAAUUGUGCUGCGAAACCAAACUGUGAAUUCACUUCAACUUUACAUUUUCAAGGGUUUAACUGGAGAUUGAAGAACACUGAGCUAGGCUUUUCAAUCAUCUCUUUCAAUCCUUGUGUAAGGUCUAAUAUCAAUAAUAGCAUGGUAUUACGUUUGCUGGCGAGCAUAUACAGUUCCAUAGAGAAAUACAGUGACCUGUGAGUAAUCUAAUAUAUUAAACAUGAAGUCAGGAUUUGUUGCUUCGGGAUAACAAUCAAUGGAUCCUUAUUGUGUAAACAAGGCCUACUUUAAAGCAGCAAUGUGGCUCUUGUGCCAAGGUUUUGGUUAUUUUUAGCUCAUAGCAUUUUACAUCUUAGUAAGCAUUUUCCUAUACGUUUAAAUGCAGAUUUGUUUUAAGAAUUAUCAGCCACAGUCUAACACAGUUCACUUAAAUCUCUGAAUUUCAAAGGAAUCAAGGGCACCUCUUCCCAUGUUGAACUGAGACCAUCAUUAUGUCCCAGAUUGCGGUAUAUGAUGGGGUAACCAACAUAUGGUGUCCUCCAGAUUUUGCUGGACUACAAUUCACAUCAGCCCUAGCAAGCACAGCUAAUUAUCAGGGAUGAUAGGAACCAUGGUCCAACAGCAUUUGGACCAUCGUCUAUGCCUGGUUAUCCCACACUCAAUUUGGGGCACUAUUAUGUAUGCAGAAUUCUAGAUACCACAUGUCUUCCCUGUAUUACAUUCUUGCUUUAGAGCAAGUUUUAAUCUCAACAGACAUUUGAAGCCCUUGGUUCCACAUCUAGCUUCUUCUCUCUGAUUUAUGCAGCCUACCUUGCUCCCGACCCAGUGUUGGGUGUGGGUGUAACAAUCUGAUUUUAUUUAUUUCAGGUGAUAUCCAACUAAUUCCAUUGGUUUCAGUGGAUUUCCUCUGAAUAUGACUUACUCAGAUAGCAUCUUAAAUUUCAAUUCCAACUUUCUUCCAGAGAGCUAAUGGCAACAUUUAUUUAUUUUAAAUAGGUUUACACUCCCCUUCAUCAAAAAUAUAUCGGGACAGUGCACAAUAUAUGUACAUUUAAAUAAGACAAUAAGUCAACUAUCAUGAAACAAUAAAUAAAAUUAGGCAAGAUCUGGUACAUUAAAAGGCCACCAGGACCCUGCUCAGACCUAGACCUCGUUAGCUUCAGCAACAUUCUUAUACCAGGUUGUUGUACAAGACUUUUUAGAUGGAAUUUCCACUCCCAAAAUCUUAUGAGAGACUGGCUAAUCAAGUAUUCAUGAAGCUGGGUAUCUGAGCUCACUUAAGUUGAGGAUAUGUUUUUGUUCCACAGGAAAGCAUGCAAGCCAGGGAUAGAUAGAAGAGUAAUGGAAGACUGAUGGCCUCCUAAAAAUUUUUUGGAAGGAGGAUAUUCACACGUACACAAGUAUGUCUGUCUUUUACUUGAGUUGAUGUGAGUGAAAAACAAAAUAACCUGCUUCUGGACUCACUACUUGACUUUGGGGUGCCAUAUUCCAGUUCCAAAUAGCCAAUUACAAAGAAGUAUCUGAGUGGCUCUUGUGACGGCAUGCCAGACAGGGAGCGUUGCUAGUGAAUUGUCUUUUUGGUUCUGCUGGAGAGGCGUGGUUGGCGUGGUUGCCCAGACUGGUAGCCAUUAACAGAGCCAGAAAGAAAGCAAACCAUGCAAUUGGGCAAAAAGUACAGCAUUUGAGAGGCCAUGUGACACACUACCCUGCCAUCACCUUCGACCAGGAGGCCUUGUUUCACGAUGAUGGGGUAGACCUUUCUGAUGUCGGCAAUGAUAGCUGGUUGAAUGAUAUUUUAGAGUGUGUCAGGGAUUGGUUGCAGGUGUGAGGGUGUUGGCAGCGAGCCAUUUGGGCUUGAGUGAGGGCUAGGUGUUGGGUAAGUCUUUGUUUAUAGGAAGGUUGUACCCUUCACCUGCCCUUCCUGUUAAAGGGAGCCAGGGG
This is a non-coding RNA of Podarcis lilfordi (Lilford's wall lizard), 25074 nucleotides long. The record is from the annotation of a GenBank genome assembly. NCBI's taxonomy places the organism in Eukaryota, Metazoa, Chordata, Lepidosauria, Squamata, Lacertidae.